AGCAAAGCUUUGAGAAAGAGGAGUAACAACACAGAAACUUUUCAGAGAGCUGGUGGCGGUGAGAAUCAGCAGGGGAUGUGUUGCGAAUGGACUUUCGAGCAAAAUGUUGAACAAGUAGUAGGCAUUUUCGGGAACUCCCGUUAUAGAGUAAGGUCGUUGAUAGACGACUGAUAAGAGGAAAGAAUUUCUUUCAAACUUGAGGUGGCACCGUGAUCAUUCGCCCUCAAA
RNAcentral lists this non-coding RNA (228 nucleotides) under Enterococcus sp. RNAcentral describes it as "T-box sequence". It matches the Rfam family "T-box leader". Rfam says of the family: Uncharged tRNA acts as the effector for transcription antitermination of genes in the T-box leader family. T-boxes are found upstream of many aminoacyl-tRNA synthetase genes and some amino acid biosynthetic genes usually in Gram-positive bacteria. The record is from RNAcentral. Lineage: Bacteria; Bacillati; Bacillota; Bacilli; Lactobacillales; Enterococcaceae.